GCACCCUUAACUCAGUUGGUAGAGUGUCGCCAUGACAUGGCGAAAGUCGUUGGUUCAAGUCCAACAGGGUGCACCA
This 76-nucleotide transfer RNA is filed under the name Gammaproteobacteria bacterium. RNAcentral describes it as "tRNA-Val". It matches the Rfam family "tRNA". From Rfam's summary of the family: Transfer RNA (tRNA) molecules are approximately 80 nucleotides in length. Their secondary structure includes four short double-helical elements and three loops (D, anti-codon, and T loops). Further hydrogen bonds mediate the characteristic L-shaped molecular structure. tRNAs have two regions of fundamental functional importance: the anti-codon, which is responsible for specific mRNA codon recognition, and the 3' end, to which the tRNAs corresponding amino acid is attached (by aminoacyl-tRNA synthetases). tRNAs cope with the degeneracy of the genetic code in two manners: having more than one tRNA (with a specific anti-codon) for a particular amino acid; and 'wobble' base-pairing, i.e. permitting non-standard base-pairing at the 3rd anti-codon position. The record is from RNAcentral. RNAcentral also lists the same sequence under 1 other name. Lineage: Bacteria; Pseudomonadati; Pseudomonadota; Gammaproteobacteria.